Molecule: ribosomal RNA, 484 nt
Filed under: uncultured bacterium
Lineage: Bacteria
Description: partial 16S ribosomal RNA
Rfam family: Bacterial small subunit ribosomal RNA
Source: RNAcentral
AUUGAACGCUGGCGGCAGGCCUAACACAUGCAAGUCGAGCGGAUGAAGGGAGCUUGCUCCUGGAUUCAGCGGCGGACGGGCGAGUAAUGCCUAGGAAUCUGCCUGGUAGUGGGGGAUAACGUCCGGAAACGGGCGCUAAUACCGCAUACGUCCUGAGGGAGAAAGUGGGGGAUCUUCGGACCUCACGCUAUCAGAUGAGCCUAGGUCGGAUUAGCUAGUUGGUGGGGUAAAGGCCUACCAAGGCGACGAUCCGUAACUGGUCUGGGAGGAUGAUCAGUCACACUGGAACUGAGACACGGUCCAGACUCCUACGGGAGGCAGCAGUGGGGAAUAUUGGACAAUGGGCGAAAGCCUGAUCCAGCCAUGCCGCGUGUGUGAAGAAGGUCUUCGGAUUGUAAAGCACUUUAAGUUGGGAGGAAGGGCAGUAAGUUAAUACCUUGCUGUUUUGACGUUACCAACAGAAUAAGCACCGGCUAACUUCGUG